This 492-nucleotide ribosomal RNA is filed under the name uncultured bacterium. Its description in RNAcentral is "partial 16S ribosomal RNA". It matches the Rfam family "Bacterial small subunit ribosomal RNA", at positions 29 to 507 of the family's 1533-position model. The record is from RNAcentral.
AGUGAAUGCUGGCGGUAGGCCUAACACAUGCAAGUCGAACGGCAGCACAGUAAGAGCUUGCUCUUACGGGUGGCGAGUGGCGGACGGGUGAGGAAUACAUCGGAAUCUACUUUUUCGUGGGGGAUAACGUAGGGAAACUUACGCUAAUACCGCAUACGACCUACGGGUGAAAGCAGGGGAUCUUCGGACCUUGCGCGAUUGAAUGAGCCGAUGUCGGAUUAGCUAGUUGGCGGGGUAAAGGCCCACCAAGGCGACGAUCCGUAGCUGGUCUGAGAGGAUGAUCAGCCACACUGGAACUGAGACACGGUCCAGACUCCUACGGGAGGCAGCAGUGGGGAAUAUUGGACAAUGGGCGCAAGCCUGAUCCAGCCAUACCGCGUGGGUGAAGAAGGCCUUCGGGUUGUAAAGCCCUUUUGUUGGGAAAGAAAAGCAGCAGGUUAAUACCCCGCUGUUCUGACGGUACCCAAAGAAUAUGCACCGGCUAACUUCGUG